Molecule: ribosomal RNA, 508 nt
Filed under: uncultured bacterium
Lineage: Bacteria
Description: partial 16S ribosomal RNA
Rfam family: Bacterial small subunit ribosomal RNA
Source: RNAcentral
GACGAACGCUGGCGGCGUGCCUAAUACAUGCAAGUCGAACGCUUCUUUCCUCCCGAGUGCUUGCACUCAAUUGGAAAGAGGAGUGGCGGACGGGUGAGUAACACGUGGGUAACCUACCCAUCAGAGGGGGAUAACACUUGGAAACAGGUGCUAAUACCGCAUAACAGUUUAUGCCGCAUGGCAUAAGAGUGAAAGGCGCUUUCGGGUGUCGCUGAUGGAUGGACCCGCGGUGCAUUAGCUAGUUGGUGAGGUAACGGCUCACCAAGGCCACGAUGCAUAGCCGACCUGAGAGGGUGAUCGGCCACACUGGGACUGAGACACGGCCCAGACUCCUACGGGAGGCAGCAGUAGGGAAUCUUCGGCAAUGGACGAAAGUCUGACCGAGCAACGCUGCGUGAGUGAAGAAGGUUUUCGGAUCGUAAAACUCUGUUGUUGGAGAAGAACAAGGACGUUAGUAACUGAACGUCCCCUGACGGUAUCUAACCAGAAAGCCACGGCUAACUACGUG